This 253-nucleotide ribosomal RNA is filed under the name uncultured bacterium. Its description in RNAcentral is "partial 16S ribosomal RNA". It matches the Rfam family "Bacterial small subunit ribosomal RNA", at positions 524 to 776 of the family's 1533-position model. The record is from RNAcentral.
UACGUAGGGGGCAAGCGUUGUCCGGAUUUAUUGGGCGUAAAGAGCGUGUAGGCGGCCAUGUAGGUCCGUUGUGAAAACUCGAGGCUCAACCUCGAGACGCCGACGGAAACCAUGUGGCUAGAGUCCGGAAGAGGAGAGUGGAAUUCCUGGUGUAGCGGUGAAAUGCGUAGAUAUUGGGAGGAACACCAGUGGCGAAGGCGGCUCACUGGACCGGUACUGACGCUGAUGCGCGAAAGCGUGGGGAGCAAACGGG